AUUGAACGCUGGCGGCAUGCUUUACACAUGCAAGUCGAACGGCAGCGAGGAGAAGCUUGCUUCUCUGUCGGCGAGUGGCGAACGGGUGAGUAUAGCAUCGGAACGUGCCAAGUAGUGGGGGAUAACCAAACGAAAGGUUGGCUAAUACCGCGUAAGCUCUAAGGAGGAAAGUAGGGGACCUAAAUAAGGCCGUACGCUAUGUGAUCGGCCAAUGUCGGAUUAGCUAGUUGGUGGGGUAAUGGCUCACCAAGGCAAUGAUCCGUAGCGGGUGUGAGAGGACGAUACGCCACACUGGGACUGAGACACGGACCAGACUCCUACGGGAGGCAGCAGUGGGGAAUUUUGGACAAUGGGGGAAACCCUGAUCCAGCCAUGCCGCGUGUAUGACGAAGGCCUUAGGGUUGUAAAGUACUUUUGUUAGGGAAGAAAAGCUAGUUUUUAAUACAAAUUAGUGAUGACGGUACCUAAAGAAUAAGCACCGGCUAACUACGUG
Molecule: ribosomal RNA, 493 nt
Filed under: uncultured bacterium
Lineage: Bacteria
Description: partial 16S ribosomal RNA
Rfam family: Bacterial small subunit ribosomal RNA
Source: RNAcentral